Molecule: transfer RNA, 73 nt
Filed under: Camelus bactrianus (Bactrian camel)
Lineage: Eukaryota; Metazoa; Chordata; Mammalia; Artiodactyla; Camelidae
Also listed under: 2 other names
Rfam family: tRNA
About the family: Transfer RNA (tRNA) molecules are approximately 80 nucleotides in length. Their secondary structure includes four short double-helical elements and three loops (D, anti-codon, and T loops).
Source: Rfam by way of RNAcentral
GAGGGUAUAGCUCAAGUGAUAGAGUGCUUGCUUUACAUGCGUGAGGUCCUGGGUUGGAUCCCCAGUACUUCCU